AAACAUGGGUGGUGCUGACAUAGCAAAGCAGGGCCCCAGUGGAAGGGAGAGAGUGAGGUGACUGACUUACUGACUGCCUGACUUGUCUGGUUUGCUUUGCUUGCUUGCCUGCCUGUAUGUAUUGUUUUGUUUUGUUUCAUCCCCCCCUUUCCCCAGGCCAUGUGACAACACUAUUGGAAUCAAGCUUACUGUCAGACCCAUCAGCAUAACAUGCCUGGCUCAUCCUCCUCUC
This 232-nucleotide long non-coding RNA is filed under the name Physcomitrium patens. RNAcentral describes it as "long non-coding RNA (PPAT_LNC002234)". Lineage: Eukaryota; Viridiplantae; Streptophyta; Bryopsida; Funariales; Funariaceae. The record is from RNAcentral.